UACGUAGGUGGCAAGCGUUGUCCGGAAUUACUGGGUGUAGAGGGAGCGCAGGCGGGAAGCCAAGUCAGCUGUGAAAACUACGGGCUUAACUUGUAGACUGCAGUUGAAACUGGUUUUCUUGAGUGAAGUAGAGGUUGGCGGAAUUCCGAGUGUAGCGGUGAAAUGCGUAGAUAUUCGGAGGAACACCGGUGGCGAAGGCGGCCAACUGGGCUUUAACUGACGCUGAGGCUCGAAAGUGUGGGGAGCAAACAGG
Molecule: ribosomal RNA, 253 nt
Filed under: uncultured bacterium
Lineage: Bacteria
Description: partial 16S ribosomal RNA
Rfam family: Bacterial small subunit ribosomal RNA
Source: RNAcentral